GGGGGCUCUAUGCCGUUGCCGUUAAUGCAUAUUCACUGCGUCUGUCGGCGUCAGCAUCUGCGUCUGGAGCUGUCUGUCUGCGUCAGUCCCUGCGUGCUUUGCCACGGCACGCCUCUGCUUCUUCUCCUUCUUCAUGGCCAUCAUUCUCUCCCUCCCACUGCGAAGGAAAGUAACCAAAGGGAGAGAAAAUAGUGAUACAGAACAGUCCAACAAUGCCGAAUUCAUGAAUGAAAAUCAAAAGACGAAGAACAAGGAUGAAACGUGUAAUGCCUCAACAGGUUCAACGCCAAUCCGUGUGUGCCCUCACCAGUUCCCCAUCAGUUAAAGUCACUCUCCAACAUCGAUCCGCUUUUACUCUGAGGAGGCUCACUGUGUGUUUCUGUUACAAAGCUCUGGCAACUCUGCCCCGGAUUCAGGCUGUGAAAGAGACAGAAUGGGACGGGGAGGGAACGGGCAGGGAGAAAGGAACGGGGGGAAUGGUGGUCUCGUGCCUCUGGAAAUAUGCAUGUUGUUGUAGACAGGCCGGCAGGCAUGCAGGCGGACAGGCAGAGGGAGAGCGAGCGAGAGAGAGAUAGAGAGAGCAGGGAAAGUAGGUAAGUUAAGAAGAGGAGGUGGGGGGCUAUGAGGGGAAGCAUGAUUGUGUUUUUAUUUUUGUGGGUUUCUCUGGCUCUGUCAAAAGCUUCUCACUCGCUGUGCAGAGGAGGGUUUCUGCCAGCUAUGGAUCGUCUUCAAAUCCUGGUUUCAGCCGCUCAGCCGUUCAGCCUUUAGGCCCGGAAGAGAUCCAACCGGCAGUUCAAGGGCGAUCGCCCAGAGUUUCAGAGCAGCUCAGCCCCUGUAAGUGCCAACGCUGAAACUCUAUCCAUGUACUCCCCUCACUUCUUCUGCCCCCUCCUUUUGGAAUUUUGCUGCCAGGAUUCAAGCUGGUUUCAGAAAUCGCACAGGGUUCUUCUUCUU
Non-coding RNA from Physcomitrium patens, 954 nucleotides. The record is from RefSeq and is a predicted model, not a curated record. Lineage: Eukaryota; Viridiplantae; Streptophyta; Bryopsida; Funariales; Funariaceae.